UACGUAGGUGGCAAGCGUUGUCCGGAAUUAUUGGGCGUAAAGCGCGCGCAGGCGGUCCUUUAAGUCUGAUGUGAAAGCCCACGGCUUAACCGUGGAGGGUCAUUGGAAACUGGAGGACUUGAGUACAGAAGAGGAAAGCGGAAUUCCACGUGUAGCGGUGAAAUGCGUAGAGAUGUGGAGGAACACCAGUGGCGAAGGCGGCUUUCUGGUCUGUAACUGACGCUGAGGCGCGAAAGCGUGGGGAGCAAACAGG
RNAcentral lists this ribosomal RNA (253 nucleotides) under uncultured bacterium. Its description in RNAcentral is "partial 16S ribosomal RNA". It matches the Rfam family "Bacterial small subunit ribosomal RNA", at positions 524 to 776 of the family's 1533-position model. The record is from RNAcentral.